Parasteatoda tepidariorum (common house spider) is the source of this 448-nucleotide non-coding RNA. NCBI's taxonomy places the organism in Eukaryota, Metazoa, Arthropoda, Arachnida, Araneae, Theridiidae. The record is from RefSeq and is a predicted model, not a curated record.
AAUAAUUUAAACAGCUCUCUCGACUUGCAAAUCCGAGAAUACCGACUUUUAAACAUUUAUGUAACUCUUUCAUACAAUUUGCGCACUCUCUAUUGGGUAUUAUCGACUUCUUUUUCAUCAUCCGAUAGUUUUCGCAAAAAGAUUAUCGAAUAAUAAAAGAAAGAUGGCGAAAUAGUUUGCUCGAGAUUUACUACUUAUAGAUUCAAAGCUCUGAGUAAAAAAAAAAUACGAUUGAACGAUAAGAAUAAGGAAUUUUUCUUUCCUUCUGAAAAAGAAGAAUUUUCUUCCUGGUAUUCUAAAAGAAAAAACUGUUGCCUAAAGAUGAGUAACCGUUUAAUUUUGAUCUUUAUUUUUUGCCACGUUCUGAUUGGCAUUGUCCUGUGCGAUGUUGCAAGCAAAGAUGGAUCCGGUGCAGAAAAAAAAGGUGAUUCAGCAGACCAACCAGGUA